AUCCAGCUGACGAGUCUCAAAUAGGACGAAAUGCGCAUCCUGGAU
Trichobilharzia regenti is the source of this 45-nucleotide non-coding RNA. NCBI's taxonomy places the organism in Eukaryota, Metazoa, Platyhelminthes, Trematoda, Strigeidida, Schistosomatidae. The record is from Rfam.